GACGAACGCUGGCGGCGUGCUUAACACAUGCAAGUCGAACGGAAAGGCCCUGCUUGCAGGGUACUCGAGUGGCGAACGGGUGAGUAACACGUGGGUGAUCUGCCCUUCACUUCGGGAUAAGCCUGGGAAACUGGGUCUAAUACCGGAUAGGAGCCAUUUUUAGUGUGAUGGUUGGAAAGUUUUUUCGGUGUAGGAUGAGCUCGCGGCCUAUCAGCUUGUUGGUGGGGUAAUGGCCUACCAAGGCGGCGACGGGUAGCCGGCCUGAGAGGGUGGACGGCCACAUUGGGACUGAGAUACGGCCCAGACUCCUACGGGAGGCAGCAGUGGGGAAUAUUGCACAAUGGGCGCAAGCCUGAUGCAGCGACGCCGCGUGGGGGAUGACGGCCUUCGGGUUGUAAACUCCUUUCGCUAGGGACGAAGCUUUUUGUGACGGUACCUAGAUAAGAAGCACCGGCUAACUACGU
RNAcentral lists this ribosomal RNA (464 nucleotides) under uncultured bacterium. Its description in RNAcentral is "partial 16S ribosomal RNA". It matches the Rfam family "Bacterial small subunit ribosomal RNA", at positions 28 to 506 of the family's 1533-position model. The record is from RNAcentral.